RNAcentral lists this RNase P RNA (346 nucleotides) under Oxalobacteraceae bacterium OM1. RNAcentral's name for it is "Bacterial RNase P class A". It matches the Rfam family "Bacterial RNase P class A". Rfam says of the family: Ribonuclease P (RNase P) is a ubiquitous endoribonuclease, found in archaea, bacteria and eukarya as well as chloroplasts and mitochondria. Its best characterised activity is the generation of mature 5'-ends of tRNAs by cleaving the 5'-leader elements of precursor-tRNAs. Lineage: Bacteria; Pseudomonadati; Pseudomonadota; Betaproteobacteria; Burkholderiales; Oxalobacteraceae. The record is from Rfam by way of RNAcentral.
GAUGCAAGCCAGGCAGCCGCUGGUCGUCGCAAGACGACGGGAGGAAGGUCCGGACUCCACAGGGCAGGGUGACGGUUAACGGCCGUCCGCCGAAUACAUAAGGCGAGGAAUAGGGCCACAGAGACGAGUCUUUGGGACCGGGGAGGGCGAAAGCCGCUCCCUGCGUUACAAAGGGUGAAACGCGGUAACCUCCACCCGGAGCAAUUCCAAAUAGGCACGCGAUGAGGCGGUCCGCGGAGCGUGCGGGUAGGAAGCUUGAGCCGUGAAGCAAUUCACGGCCUAGAGGAAUGGCUGUCAUAACGGGCAACCGUCGUAACAGAAUCCGGCCUAUCGGCUUGCUUCACAU